RNAcentral lists this ribosomal RNA (496 nucleotides) under uncultured bacterium. Its description in RNAcentral is "partial 16S ribosomal RNA". It matches the Rfam family "Bacterial small subunit ribosomal RNA", at positions 28 to 507 of the family's 1533-position model. The record is from RNAcentral.
GAUGAACGCUGGCGGCGUGCCUAAUACAUGCAAGUCGAGCGAACGGACGAGAAGCUUGCUUCUCUGAUGUAGCGGCGGACGGGUGAGUAACACGUGGAUAACCUACCUAUAAGACUGGGAUAACUUCGGGAAACCGGAGCUAAUACCGGAUAAUAUUUUGAACCGCAUGGUUCAAAAGUGAAAGACGGUCUUGCUGUCACUUAUAGAUGGAUCCGCGCUGCAUUAGCUAGUUGGUAAGGUAACGGCUUACCAAGGCAACGAUGCAUAGCCGACCUGAGAGGGUGAUCGGCCACACUGGAACUGAGACACGGUCCAGACUCCUACGGGAGGCAGCAGUAGGGAAUCUUCCGCAAAGGGCGAAAGCCUGACGGAGCAACGCCGCGUGAGUGAUGAAGGUCUUCGGAUCGUAAAACUCUGUUAUUAGGGAAGAACAUAUGUGUAAGUAACUGUGCACAUCUUGACGGUACCUAAUCAGAAAGCCACGGCUAACUACGUG